AAAUUGAAGAGUUUGAUCAUGGCUCAGAUUGAACGCUGGCGGCAGGCCUAACACAUGCAAGUCGAACGGUAACAGGAAGCAGCUUGCUGUUUCGCUGACGAGUGGCGGACGGGUGAGUAAUGUCUGGGAAACUGCCUGAUGGAGGGGGAUAACUACUGGAAACGGUGGCUAAUACCGCAUAACGUCGCAAGACCAAAGAGGGGGACCUUCGGGCCUCUUGCCAUCAGAUGUGCCCAGAUGGGAUUAGCUUGUUGGUGAGGUAACGGCUCACCAAGGCGACGAUCCCUAGCUGGUCUGAGAGGAUGACCAGCCACACUGGAACUGAGACACGGUCCAGACUCCUACGGGAGGCAGCAGUGGGGAAUAUUGCACAAUGGGCGCAAGCCUGAUGCAGCCAUGCCGCGUGUAUGAAGAAGGCCUUCGGGUUGUAAAGUACUUUCAGCGGGGAGGAAGGUGUUGUGGUUAAUAACCACAGCAAUUGACGUUACCCGCAGAAGAAGCACCGGCU
Molecule: ribosomal RNA, 508 nt
Filed under: Salmonella enterica
Lineage: Bacteria; Pseudomonadati; Pseudomonadota; Gammaproteobacteria; Enterobacterales; Enterobacteriaceae
Also listed under: 1 other name
Description: bacterial SSU rRNA
Rfam family: Bacterial small subunit ribosomal RNA
Source: RNAcentral